CAGCAGCCACGGGAAAACCAGCACCUCGAGUGGUCAGGAGGUUUAUUGGGCCUAAAGCAUCCGUAGCCGGUUGCAUAAGUUUUCGGUUAAAUCUAUGCGCUUAACGUAUAGGCCGCCGAAAAUACUGUGCAGCUAGGGAGUGGGAGAGGUACACGGUACUCGAUAGGAAGGGGUAAAAUCCUUUGAUCUAUUGAUGACCACCUGUGGCGAAGGCGGUGUACCAGAACACGUUCGACGGUGAGGGAUGAAAGCUGGGGGAGCAAACCGGAUUAGAUACCCCUGUAGUCCCUGUCUCUUAUAC
RNAcentral lists this ribosomal RNA (301 nucleotides) under uncultured bacterium. RNAcentral describes it as "partial 16S ribosomal RNA". It matches the Rfam family "Archaeal small subunit ribosomal RNA", at positions 459 to 760 of the family's 1478-position model. The record is from RNAcentral.